Non-coding RNA from Schizosaccharomyces pombe (fission yeast), 321 nucleotides. Lineage: Eukaryota; Fungi; Ascomycota; Schizosaccharomycetes; Schizosaccharomycetales; Schizosaccharomycetaceae. The record is from the annotation of a GenBank genome assembly.
AAUCCAACGCCAGAAGGAAGAUGCUACUGCCACACACACCAGAGACCUUUUUUUUAACGAUCAAUUAAAGAUUUUUCGUGAAAUAUCCUCUUCUAUUAUUCAUUUCAUGUCCCUGCGGCCUUUAAAUAUAGAAUAGCUUAAAGUAAAGACGAGUACAUUAUGAGUUGAAGCAUCAAGGUACAAAUGGUAAAUUUACUUUACAGAAAACAUAUUAAACUCACAAAAUUUUGCCAUGACAAAAUAAUAAAGGGAGCCAGUGAUUUGGAAGAUAUAAUCAGGAAGCAUGAAGUUACAGCGUAUCACAGUUGAAAAUAAUAACAG